AACGCGUGGGAACAUACACAGCACAGGGGGAUAACCAUUGGAAACGAUGGCUAAUACCGCAUACGCCCUAUUGGGGAAAGAUUUAUCGGUGUUGGAUUGGCCCGCGUUAGAUUAGCUAGUUGGUGGGGUAAUGGCUCACCAAGGCGACGAUUUAUAGCUGGUUUGAGAGGAUGAUCAGCAACACUGGAACUGAGACACGGUCCAGACUCCUACGGGAGGCAGCAGUCGGGAAUAUUGUGCAAUGGGGGCAACCCUGACACAGCCAUGCCGCGUGAGUGAAGAAGGCCUUAGGGUUGUAAAGCUCUUUCAGAUGUGAGGAUGAUGACGAUAGCAUCAGAAGAAGCUCCGGCUAACUUCGUGCCAGCAGCCGCGGUAAUACGAAGGGAGCUAGCGUNGUUCGGAAUUACU
This 408-nucleotide ribosomal RNA is filed under the name uncultured bacterium. Its description in RNAcentral is "bacterial SSU rRNA". It matches the Rfam family "Bacterial small subunit ribosomal RNA", at positions 112 to 555 of the family's 1533-position model. The record is from RNAcentral.